This 358-nucleotide unclassified non-coding RNA is filed under the name uncultured fungus. RNAcentral's name for it is "sequence contains ITS1". Lineage: Eukaryota; Fungi. The record is from RNAcentral.
UUCUUUUACUAUUUUCGUUUAGCCUACUCGCUCGUCCCUUCUUCCUUGGGUUGGGCUGCGCGGCUUGCUCGCUGACCUCCCCCGGGGUGGGUUAAUCCCCCGGGGAAGCAACAGUGGUGGUGUAUGCAGGGGGUGUGGGCAUUUGGAAACUGGCCACCCGGGGGCGGAGGGACGGGCGGGGCGCUCCGGCCGCGUCGGGCGUUAGCCGACGCGGGGGCUUCAACCACUCUCCCUCGGGUCUACGGCCCCAGCCUGUCCCGGGAGCACAAUCGAGUCGGGCUACCCCACGCCUUCUCGCGUUUCCUGCUCCUCGUGUUGGUCUUUGGUAAUGAUCCUUCCGCAGGUUCACCUACGGAAA